Molecule: long non-coding RNA, 389 nt
Filed under: Phoenix dactylifera (date palm)
Lineage: Eukaryota; Viridiplantae; Streptophyta; Magnoliopsida; Arecales; Arecaceae
Description: long non-coding RNA (PDAC_LNC013686)
Source: RNAcentral
UGUGAUGUACGUCAACGAUCAAGUCGAAGACAGUGCAUGAGAUGAACGGCGAUCUAAGCGGUUGAUGGCGAUUGGAUCAAGAGUUGGUCAAGGAUCGAGUCAAGGAGGCUUGGAACCAAUUCAAAAGUUGAAGAUCAGUUGAUCGAUUGACGUGCAUGUGCUUGUAAUAUGACCUAAUUAGAAUCCAUGAUCAUUACCUAUUUAAAGUUUAGCUUUAUAACUGCCUACAAUGUGCCGUUUGCAUGUGAUGUGAAUGAGAGCGGGGUAGAUAGGUUUACAUGUGAUGUAGCAAACCCAAUAAGACCUAAACUAAAACCUCCUCAAUCAAGUCGAGAGUGAACCAACAUGAGCGAGUCAUAUUAGAUUAAUUGAUCUAAUUGGUGUCUAGG